This 765-nucleotide non-coding RNA is filed under the name Histeridae sp. BMNH 1274743. The record is from RNAcentral. Lineage: Eukaryota; Metazoa; Arthropoda; Insecta; Coleoptera; Histeridae.
UUAAAGUUUUAUUCUAACUUAUUGGAUUGAUCUAGUAUUUUAAUACAUGUAAGAUUUAACUUGUAGUAAGUAUCCUUAUAUAGAUUGUUAAGUUUAAUCGCAGUAUUUAAUUUUGAUUAUUAGUUGAGGCUUGAAUCAGUGAUUAUUAUUAGUAAUAACAAAGCUUGUGCCAGCAGUUGCGGUUACACAAGCAUUACAAUUAAUUUUAAUAUAACAAGAAUAUAAAUAUUUCUUUUACUGUAUACUGGGCUUUUUAGGUGAAAUUUUAAGUUUCGGUUAAGUUAUAUUUUUUGAUAUUUUGAAACCAUUCUAUAAACUAGGAUUAGAUACCCUAUUAUUAUUGGCGUGAAUUUGUUGUUAGAUUAGUAUUAGCUAUGUUCUUGAAAAUUAAAGAUUUUGGCGGUAUCUUAGUCCAUUCAGAGGAGCCUGCCCUGUAAUUGAUGCUCCACGAGUUACUAUACUUUUCCUUUUAGUUUGUAUAUCGUCGUGAUAGGAAAUUCUCAUAAGAUAAAAAUUUUCGUAGUCUUUAUUAUGGUAAAUAUCAGAUCAAGGUGCAGUUAAUGGAGAAGUUGAGGUGGGCUACAAUAAUUAUAUUUAGACGGAUAAGUUUAUUCAAAUUCUUUGAAGGUGGAUUUGAUAGUAAUUUGUAUUUUAAUUAUAUAAAUGAUUAUGGCUCUAGGAUAUGCACAUAUCGCCCGUCGCUUUCAAUCAAGUUGAAAUAAGUCGUAACAAAGUAGGCUUAUUGGAAAAUGUGCCUAGAAUGCA